GACGAACGCUGGCGGCGUGCCUAAUACAUGCAAGUAGAACGCACAGUUUAUACCGUAGCUUGCUACACCAUAAACUGUGAGUUGCGAACGGGUGAGUAACGCGUCGGUAACCUGCCUGGUAGCGGGGGAUAACUAUUGGAAACGAUAGCUAAUACCGCAUAAUAUUGAUUAUUGCAUGAUAAUUGAUUGAAAGAUGCUAUUGCAUCACUACCAGAUGGACCUGCGUUGUAUUAGCUAGUAGGUGAGGUAACGGCUCACCUAGGCGGCGAUACAUAGCCGACCGGAGAGGGUGGUCGGCCACACUGGGACUGAGACACGGCCCAUACUCCUACAGGUGGCAGCAGUAGGGAAUCUGCGGCAAUGGACGAAAGUCUGACCGAACAGCGCGGCGUGAGUGAAGAGGGUUGUCGGGUCGGAAAGCACGGUUUUAAGGGAAGAACGGGUGUGAGAGUGGAAAGAAGACACUGUGACGGUAUCGUACCAGAAAGGGACGGCUAACUACGUG
Molecule: ribosomal RNA, 505 nt
Filed under: uncultured bacterium
Lineage: Bacteria
Description: partial 16S ribosomal RNA
Rfam family: Bacterial small subunit ribosomal RNA
Source: RNAcentral